Molecule: unclassified non-coding RNA, 365 nt
Filed under: Hevea brasiliensis (rubber tree)
Lineage: Eukaryota; Viridiplantae; Streptophyta; Magnoliopsida; Malpighiales; Euphorbiaceae
Source: RNAcentral
CCCCACUAUCAGACUGGCUGUCUGCAAACGAUUCAACAUAAAUUGAAGAGGCAGUCAAUGAUUUAUGAUCAUUUGAAGGGGAUGCUUUACGAGCAAAGGUUUUUAGCCUACGACACUCAGCUUCAAGCUUAGCAACCUUCUUUAUGCUUUCCAAAUGUUGUUUGCUAGCUGUUUCAGCUGCUUGGAUGCUUAGGUCCCUCUCCAUAAUCCUAAUUUCUAGCUCCUCAGCUUGAGAAAGGAGCUCAAGUUUAAGGGAAGAGUUAUCUUUCUCUGCAGCCUCAAGCUUUCGUCGAAGAUCAGAAUCAACUGAUGUUGUUGCUUCACUUUUAGCAGUUUGAAGUUGUGCCUCAAGCUGAACAAGCUUG